Anthonomus grandis grandis is the source of this 234-nucleotide long non-coding RNA. RefSeq lists it as uncharacterized. The transcript has 2 exons. The record is from RefSeq and is a predicted model, not a curated record. Lineage: Eukaryota; Metazoa; Arthropoda; Insecta; Coleoptera; Curculionidae.
CAGCUGCAAAAUCAAAGUGUUCAAGACACGUUUAAUAUUAACGAUAUGGAAAUAAUAUAUUCUGGCGAAACUAAUGUUAAUGCUAUAGAGGAAAACUACGAUUUGGAACAGAACGAUUUACAUCAAAAUUAUGUGAAGCCACUAAUGAAUUAAAUAGUAUGGCGUAUACAGAAGGUAAUUCAGUUUCUGAAGAGUUUGAUGUUCAAACUGAGGUUUUGACAGAUACACCUAAAG